Molecule: small RNA, 511 nt
Filed under: Pongo abelii (Sumatran orangutan)
Lineage: Eukaryota; Metazoa; Chordata; Mammalia; Primates; Hominidae
Description: retained intron
Source: RNAcentral
CUCCCCCUCGCUCACCACCACCUCUACUUCGCAGUGGAAGAAACAUUGGUUUGUGCUGACAGAUUCAAGUCUCAAAUAUUACAGAGACUCCACUGCUGAGGAGGCAGAUGAGCUGGAUGGUGAGAUCGACCUGCGUUCCUGCACGGAUGUCACUGAGUACGCGGUGCAGCGCAACUAUGGCUUCCAGAUCCACGUGAGGCUGCGUGCAGCUUGGGGGCUGGUGGUGGGCAGCGUGGCUGGAGGCCCCUGGGGAAGGUUUUGGUGUUGAACAUGGCUCACCAUGGAGACUGGAUCCUUUCACUCAUUUACCCAGAGGCUCUGUCUUCAGAGCCGGAGCUGUGAUGCCAACACUUAGCAUAUCUGGGGGAGAUGCUGGAGCCAGCAGGGCUCUUCCCAGGCCAAUGGAAGGGAGGUUCCCUUCCCUGCCCACCCCAGACUGAAGACCUUAGAUGCAUCCUGGGAAGGAAGGGCCACCCUCCCUGGGGUCCAUAGUGGGGAAGGAGUCAUGGGG